RNAcentral lists this non-coding RNA (25 nucleotides) under Rattus norvegicus (Norway rat). Lineage: Eukaryota; Metazoa; Chordata; Mammalia; Rodentia; Muridae. The record is from RNAcentral.
UACUACAAUUAACUCUCAAAUCUUA